GGGAAGGUGGCUCAGUGGUAGAGCACUUGCCUUGCAUGCAUGAGGCCCUGUGUUUGAUUCCUUAGCACCCCA
RNAcentral lists this transfer RNA (72 nucleotides) under Dipodomys ordii (Ord's kangaroo rat). It matches the Rfam family "tRNA". Rfam says of the family: Transfer RNA (tRNA) molecules are approximately 80 nucleotides in length. Their secondary structure includes four short double-helical elements and three loops (D, anti-codon, and T loops). The record is from Rfam by way of RNAcentral. Lineage: Eukaryota; Metazoa; Chordata; Mammalia; Rodentia; Heteromyidae.